GCUAACUACGUGCCAGCAGCCGCGGUAAAACGUAGGAGGCGAGCGUUAUCCGGAUUUACUGGGCGUAAAGCGCACGCAGGCGGCUCCGUGAGUCGGACGUGAAAGCUCUCGGCUUAACCGGGAGAGGCCGUUCGAUACUGCGGGGCUUGAGGUAGGGAGAGGAAUGCGGAAUUCCCGGUGUAGUGGUGGAAUGCGUAGAUAUCGGGAGGAACACCUGUGGCGAAAGCGGCAUUCUGGCCCUCACCUGACGCUGAGGUGCGAAAGCGUGGGUAGCAAACAGGAUUAGAUACCCUGGUAGUC
RNAcentral lists this ribosomal RNA (300 nucleotides) under uncultured Litorilinea sp. Its description in RNAcentral is "bacterial SSU rRNA". It matches the Rfam family "Bacterial small subunit ribosomal RNA", at positions 496 to 795 of the family's 1533-position model. The record is from RNAcentral. Lineage: Bacteria; Bacillati; Chloroflexota; Caldilineae; Caldilineales; Caldilineaceae.